ACUUAAAUAAUUUAAAAUAAAAUAUUGAUUUGUGGAAUCAAAAAUGUAAUGUAAAUUACUUUAAGUU
RNAcentral lists this transfer RNA (67 nucleotides) under Ochlodes venata (large skipper). RNAcentral's name for it is "tRNA-His". The record is from RNAcentral. Lineage: Eukaryota; Metazoa; Arthropoda; Insecta; Lepidoptera; Hesperiidae.